RNAcentral lists this ribosomal RNA (468 nucleotides) under uncultured bacterium. RNAcentral describes it as "partial 16S ribosomal RNA". It matches the Rfam family "Bacterial small subunit ribosomal RNA", at positions 28 to 507 of the family's 1533-position model. The record is from RNAcentral.
GACGAACGCUGGCGGCGUGCUUAACACAUGCAAGUCGAACGGAAAGGCCCUGCUUGCAGGGUGCUCGAGUGGCGAACGGGUGAGUAACACGUGGGUGAUCUGCCCCUUACUUUGGGAUAAGCCUGGGAAACUGGGUCUAAUACUGGAUAGGACCAUGCUGUAGGUGGUGUGGUGGAAAGAUUAGUUUCGGUAAGGGAUGAGCUCGCGGCCUAUCAGCUUGUUGGUGGGGUAAUGGCCUACCAAGGCGUCGACGGGUAGCCGGCCUGAGAGGGUGGACGGCCACAUUGGAACUGAGAUACGGCCCAGACUCCGACGGGAGGCAGCAGUGGGGAAUAUUGCACAAUGGGCGCAAGCCUGAUGCAGCGACGCCGCGUGGGGGAUGACGGCCUUAGGGUUGUAAGCUCCUUUCAGCCAUGACGAAGCCUUCGGGUGACGGUAGUGGUAGAAGAAGCACCGGCUAACUACGUG